Anolis carolinensis (green anole) is the source of this 1495-nucleotide long non-coding RNA. RefSeq lists it as uncharacterized. The transcript has 2 exons. The record is from RefSeq and is a predicted model, not a curated record. Lineage: Eukaryota; Metazoa; Chordata; Lepidosauria; Squamata; Anolidae.
GGCUGCGACUCUGCCCGAAAAGAGGAGAAAGGCGAGGAGGAGGCGCGCCUGCUUUCCUGCCUGCCUUUUGCAAGAUCCAGCUGCUGCUUUGCCAAAGCGAGGAGGAGCCACGAAAGAUUUCUGGGUUGACAGAAGCUGGGGCUAACAGCAGGAGCUCACCCCGCCCCCCGGAUUCGAACCACCAACCUUUCAGUCAGCAAGUUCAGCAGCUCAGAGGUUUAGCCUGAUGAGCCACCGAGGGCUCCAAGAGUCCAGUGCAAUACAGGAAAUCCUUAUUAUAUUUGUCCGUCAUGAAAACAUGAAAUCCUAAAUUUCAAAAUAGAAAGGAGGCCAACUCAUACAGGCAGUUCCCGAGUUACAAACAUAACUCAGGAAACCUCAAAUUUCAUGAUUUCAUAGAGAAAAGCCAUGUCAGUUAAAUGACUCGUAGUUAAAAACGGAGCUGAGACUACAGAAAGUGAGAGGAAUCUAUUCCCCAGAAGGAAAAUUCACUCCUGAAAGAAUUAUUAUCAUGGGGAAAAGGGGUCUCAACUGAAGCUUUCUCUCCAGUCCUUGUUUCCACAACAAGCCACAUUUUUCAAAAUCCAAUGAUCACAGGGACAGAAAGUGAGGUGAAAUCUUUCCUAUGCUACCGAAAGCACCGUCUGCCUGUCUGUCUGUUUGGCUGGAGUUACACUUAAAAAUGUACCUGAUCCGCCUUACAUACAAAUUCAACUCAAGAAUAAACCGACAGAACCUUUAUUGUUUGCAAAUUGGGGACUGCCUGUACUGUAUUAUAUUUUCUUCUCCCUCUUUGUUUUUCAUCUUUAAGGCCUUCACAUUACAGUUUGAGUAUCUCUUAUCUGAAAUGUUUAGGACCAGAAGUUUUCUGGAUUAUUUUUUUUUUGUGAUUGUGGAAUAUCUAUAUUUGGACAUAACAAGUUGUCUUGGAGAUAGGACCCAAGUUUGAAAACAAAAUUCCUUUAUCUUUGAUAUACAGCAUUGUAUACAUGGCAUGGCCUGAGGGCUGUAGCACAGGCUGGUUAGUAGCCAGCUGCAAUUAAUCACUUUGACCAAGAGGUCAUGAGUUCGAGGCCAGCCCGUGGCGGAAUGAGCACCCAACCAUGAAAAUAAAAUAAUAGCCCUUGAUCGUUGCUGACCUAAGCAACCUGAAAGAUAGUUGCAUCUAUCAAGUAGGAAAUUUAGGUGCCACUUAUAUGUGGGGAGGCUAAUUUAACUAAUUUACGACACCCUAAAAAAUCAUCCAGCAAGCGUUUGGAAAGAGGAAGUUUCCGUCACAGUGGAUGAUGAAGCAGCUGCUCCCCUGUGGCCGGAAUCAAGCAUAUCCUCAGGAAGCUGGAAGCUGGAGAAUGUUGCCUCUGCAUCUGUCUCUGUUCUAUGUUAUAUGGCAUUGAAUGUUUGUCUCAUAUGUGUACAAUGUGAUCCACCCUGAGUCCCCUUCGGGGUGAGAAGGGCGGAAUACUGUAAAUAAAUAAAUAACUGUAUACAUUUUUAA